Molecule: ribosomal RNA, 465 nt
Filed under: Vreelandella stevensii
Lineage: Bacteria; Pseudomonadati; Pseudomonadota; Gammaproteobacteria; Oceanospirillales; Halomonadaceae
Description: partial 16S ribosomal RNA
Rfam family: Bacterial small subunit ribosomal RNA
Source: RNAcentral
CCUACGGGAGGCUGCAGUGGGGAAUAUUGGACAAUGGGGGGAACCCUGAUCCAGCCAUGUCGCGUGUGUGAAGAAGGCCCUCGGGUUGUAAAGCACUUUCAGUGAGGAAGAACGCCUGGUGGUUAAUACCCAUCAGGAAAGACAUCACUCACAGAAGAAGCACCGGCUAACUCCGUGCCAGCAGCCGCGGUAAUACGGAGGGUGCGAGCGUUAAUCGGAAUUACUGGGCGUAAAGCGCGCGUAGGUGGCUUGAUAAGCCGGUUGUGAAAGCCCCGGGCUCAACCUGGGAACGGCAUCCGGAACUGUCAAGCUAGAGUGCAGGAGAGGAAGGUAGAAUUCCCGGUGUAGCGGUGAAAUGCGUAGAGAUCGGGAGGAAUACCAGUGGCGAAGGCGGCCUUCUGGACUGACACUGACACUGAGGUGCGAAAGCGUGGGUAGCAAACAGGAUUAGAUACCCCUGUAGUC